AUAAUUAUCAUUAACACAUUCUUACACUUCAUGCUUAUGCUAAGGUCUAUCCAUAGACCAAUUUAGUCACUUUUAAAUCAUCAAGUAAUCUAGGGCACAUUCACAAUUCAUCCAUACCAAACACACAUGACCACACCCUAUGAAACCUUUUAGUACAUGCAUACAUAUAUGGAUAGGUUUACAACCCAAUAACCAAUAUGAGCCACAUCACAUGGCCAUAUACAAAAAGAAUCAUAUUCUCAUUAUGAGCCAAUACAUUUGGCCAAAUCAAAUGACACAUAUCGAAUUGACUAAGUUCCUAUACAUGCCAUAGAUUUAAAGUGCUUGAAAUCAUUUAUACCCUUCAAUAGCUGGAUAGUGUGAUAGAAUUUUUGACGAUCUCCAACCCGAGCUAGCAUCUGUGACAGUAUGUGAGAAAGGAAAGGAAAGGGGUAAGCUAUAUAGCUUAGUAAGUCCAUAUGAAAAUAAUAAGCAAUUUAUUAACAUGUUUUUAACAAUUCUCACAACAUGUUUUUAACAAUCAUAAUUGCACAAAAUUCUACUAUUUACUCCUAUUCAUCUCAAGUUGUCUACUCAAGUCACAGUCACUAAAUUAUUUAUAUCUUGAGCUACGGAACUCCAAAUUAAGAUCCGUUAAUUUUGCCUGAAACUAGACUCACAUAUCUUCUUACCAUAAAAUUUUUAGAAAUUUUGGUCUAGCCAAUAAGUGCAGUUUAUUCUUUAAAUUCUCCCCUGUUCUGCUGUUUGACAAUUUCAACCCUUCUUCAUUAAAAAUUAAUUAUCUCACAGUACGAAAUCCGGAUAAUGUUCUGUUUCUCUUGAAAUAAGUAUUUAGUCAAUAAGUAUUUAGUCAUUAAAAAUUUUGGUCUAGCCAAUAAGUAUUUAGUCAUAUGAAUUCUAACUCAUAAUUAUUUUCAUAAAAUUAUUAAUGAUUUUCCGAAGUUAAGACAAAGGAACCCAAAAUCACUCUAGCCUUGUCUUACAGAAAUCCAUAUAUCUCAUAACAUGAAAUUCUUUUGCUUACACCGUUUCUUCUACGUGAAAUUAGACUCGAUAAGGUUUAAUUUCAUAUUUUAUUCAACCUCUAACUAAAUUUCCACAAUUUUUGGUGGAUUUUCAAAGUCGGACUACUGCUCUGUCCAAAACUAUUUUAGUGUAGAAUAACGAUAACUAAGUUUAUAGCACCUUUACAAAUCAUUUUAACCUUCACGGUAAAAAUACAUAUUUAUACAUCAUAACCAUAGACCCAUAAUCACAAGGUCAUCACAAAAUCAUUCUUAUGGGCAUGACUUACUUAUUUGCAUCCUUACUAAAGAUGCAUCAUAAACCGAGAUCAUUUCUCAUGAGUUUUGCACACAUACCCGUACCACUUGCAACAUCAUCAUAACUUUUCUCAAUCAUGACACAAUCUUUAAAUCACCCGUUGAACCAAUUGGAACACUAAAGAAUACCCGAUAAGCCUCAUACAAAAGGGUAAAAUACCGAUGCCAUGUCCCAGACAUGGUCUUACACUGACACAUAUAACAAUACCGAUGCCAUGUUCCAAGCAUGAUCUUACACUGGCCGCAUAUUGAGGCCGAUGCCAUAUCCCAAACAUGGUCUUACAUUGGCUCUCAUAAUGUGGCAGAUGCCAUGUCCCAGACAUGGUCUUACACUAGCACACAUAUCAAAGUCGAUGCCAUGUCCCAGACAUAGUCUUACACUGGCUCUCAUAAUGUGGUCGAUGCCAUGUCUCAGACAUGGUCUUACACUAGCACACAUAUCAACACCGAUGCCAUGUCCCAAACAUGGUCUUACACUGGCUCUCAUAAUAUGGCCGAUGCCAUGUCCCAAAUAUGGUCUUAUGUUAGCACACAUAUCAACCGAAUGUCUUGGCAUGGAUAUCCAAUCUAUUCCUAAGGUUCAACCAGAAGUUUUACCACAACAAAUCUCGUCAUACAUAUUCCAUGUAAUAUCACUCUUUUAACACCAAUUUACCAUUCAGUACAAUGUCAUCAAACAUCAUAAACAUAUGUUUUAGGUCAUUGCAUAUACAUAGCUUACAAUAUAAUUUCGUGAAGCAUAACACCAUCACGUACAUAGUACCACAAACAUAUAAUUCAACGCAUCCGCAUUUUCAUAUCAAUUCAUAUUGCAAUCACAAAUCACAAUAACAUUAUUGUCUUACCAAUUUUAUCAUACGACUCGUUUGUCGAUUCCUCGUCGAGUAUGUCCGUAACAAAUCAUACAAAUUAUAUAAUAAAAAUUAGGCAUUUCAAUUCAAAUAAGACAUUGCAUUAUUAUUAUCACACGAACUUACCUCGAAUGCAAAAACGGCUAAUUAUUCUCUUUUUGUCCUUAACCACGUACUUUCUCGAUUUAAGCUCGAAUCUUGAUUUUCUUGAUCUAACAUUUCAAAUAUAGCUUAUUUAUUACUCACAAUAUUCAAAUUAACCCAAAAAUCAUACUUUGAAAAUUUUACAAUUUUACCCCUAAAAUUUUACUUAUUUGCAAAUUAGCCCCUAAGCUCGAAAAAUAAAAUUUAUUCAAUUUUAUCCCAACCCAGGCCUAGCCGAAUAUUUAUCUUACUAACAGCAACUCACAUAUUUCAUUAUUUCACAUAUUUACCAUCUAUUUUACCACUUUUACAAAAUGGUCCAUUUUAGGUGUUUUCAUGAAAAUCACUUAACAAAAGUUGUUUAUUUAACAACUAAUAUUCGUUUUCUUCCAUAAAAAUGCAGGAAAAACAUGAAUAUUAUCGUGUAAAAACCCUAUACUUUCAACCAUUUUGUAAAAUAGUCCCCUCAUUAGCUAAAUUAAGCUACAAGGGUUCCAAAAAUACAAAAAUUAUCAAAAAUGACCAUCAAAAUCACUUACUUGUGAGGGUUAGAAGUUGCAGAAAUUGUCAAGCUUCCAUGGCUAUUUCCUUGGGUAAAAAUCGGUGAAGAAGAAAGAGAAAUAAAAAAAAGAU
This 2950-nucleotide long non-coding RNA is filed under the name Gossypium barbadense (sea-island cotton). Its description in RNAcentral is "long non-coding RNA (GBAR_LNC000085)". The record is from RNAcentral. Lineage: Eukaryota; Viridiplantae; Streptophyta; Magnoliopsida; Malvales; Malvaceae.